This 1480-nucleotide ribosomal RNA is filed under the name Oenococcus oeni. RNAcentral's name for it is "bacterial LSU rRNA". It matches the Rfam family "Bacterial large subunit ribosomal RNA", at positions 1428 to 2925 of the family's 2925-position model. The record is from RNAcentral. Lineage: Bacteria; Bacillati; Bacillota; Bacilli; Lactobacillales; Lactobacillaceae.
GGUUGAUAUUCCUGUACCGAUAUUUAAUUGCCGAAGGAAGGACGCAGAAGGAUAACACAGGCCACUAUUGGAUGUGGUUUUAAACAGUUAGUCUUCAUAAGAGUCAAAUGCUUUUAUGUUUAAGGAUAAGCUGUGAAUGUACCAAGUUUACUUGGAAAUUGUGUGAUUUCACGCUGCUGAAAAAAGUUUCGUAGGAAGAAAAUAUUGCCCGUACCGCAAACCGACACAGGUACUCAAGUGGAGAACACUAAGGUGAGCGAGUGAACUAUUGUUAAGGAACUCUGCAAAAUGAGUCCGUAACUUCGGAAGAAGGACUGCUGGUUUUAUACCAGCCGCAGCAAAUAGGCCCAAACAACUGUUUAUCAAAAACACAGGUUUCUGCAAAAUCGUAAGAUGAAGUAUAGGGGCUGACGCCUGCCCAGUGCUGGAAGGUUAAAAGGAGGACUUAGCUUCGGCGAAGGUCUUAAUUGAAGCCCCAGUGAACGGCGGCCGUAACUAUAACGGUCCUAAGGUAGCGAAAUUCCUUGUCGGGUAAGUUCCGACCCGCAUGAAAGGCGUAAUGAUUUGGGCGCUGUCUCAACAAUAGACUCGGUGAAAUUUAAAUUCCAGUGAAGAUGCUGGGUACCCGCGACAGGACGGAAAGACCCCGUGGAGCUUUACUGUAGCUUGAUAUUGAAUGUUUGUGCUGCAUGUGCAGGAUAGGUAGGAGACUUUGAAGUCGGAACGCUAGUUUCGAUUGAGUCACCCUUGAGAUACUACCUCUGUUGUAUGAACGUUCUAACUCUGAUCAGUUAUCCUGAUCGAAGACAGUGUCUGGCAGGCAGUUUGACUGGGGCGGUCGCCUCCUAAAAGAUAACGGAGGCGCUCAAAGGUUUGCUCAGAAUGGUUGGAAAUCAUUCGUAGCGUGUAAAGGCAUAAGCAAGCUUGACUGUGAGACUGACAAGUCGAGCAGGUACGAAAGUAGGACUUAGUGAUCCGGUGGUUCCGUAUGGAAGGGCCAUCGCUCAACGGACAAAAGCUACCCCGGGGAUAACAGGCUCAUCUCCCCCAAGAGUCCACAUCGACGGGGAGGUUUGGCACCUCGAUGUCGGCUCAUCGCAUCCUGGGGCUGUAGUCGGUCCCAAGGGUUGGGCUGUUCGCCCAUUAAAGCGGUACGCGAGCUGGGUUCAGAACGUCGUGAGACAGUUCGGUCCCUAUCCGUCGUGGGCGCAGGAAAUUUGAGAGGAUCUGUCCUUAGUACGAGAGGACCGGGAUGGACAUACCUCUGGUGUACCAGUUGUUCUGCCAAGAGCACCGCUGGGUAGCUACGUAUGGAUUAGAUAAUCGCUGAAAGCAUCUAAGUGAGAAACUAACCUCGAGAUGAGAUUUCCCAUUCGUCAGAAGUAAGACCCCUGAGAGACGAUCAGGUAGAUAGGCUAGAAGUGGAAGUGUAGUGAUGCAUGGAGCGGACUAGUACUAAUAGGUCGAGGACUUAACCAAG